Molecule: ribosomal RNA, 359 nt
Filed under: uncultured prokaryote
Description: partial 16S ribosomal RNA
Source: RNAcentral
UGAUUCGUCUAAGAAGUUUAAGAUUGCUGAGGGUCAGUGGUAUCGUUAUGCGCCUUCGUAUGUUUCUCCUGCUUAUCACCUUCUUGAAGGCUUCCCAUUCAUUCAGGAACCGCCUUCUGGUGAUUUGCAAGAACGCGUACUUAUUCGCCACCAUGAUUAUGACCAGUGUUUCCAGUCCGUUCAGUUGUUGCAGUGGAAUAGUCAGGUUAAAUUUAAUGUGACCGUUUAUCGCAAUCUGCCGACCACUCGCGAUUCAAUCAUGACUUCGUGAUAAAAGAUUGAGUGUGAGGUUAUAACGCCGAAGCGGUAAAAAUUUUAAUUUUUGCCGCUGAGGGGUUGACCAAGCGAAGCGCGGUAGG